RNAcentral lists this ribosomal RNA (254 nucleotides) under uncultured bacterium. Its description in RNAcentral is "partial 16S ribosomal RNA". It matches the Rfam family "Bacterial small subunit ribosomal RNA", at positions 524 to 776 of the family's 1533-position model. The record is from RNAcentral.
UACGGGGGGAGCAAGCGUUGUUCGGAUUUACUGGGCGUAAAGGGCGCGUAGGCGGUCGUGACAAGUCACUUGUGAAAUCUCCGGGCUUAACUCGGAACGGUCAAGUGAUACUGUCGGACUAGAGUACAGAAGGGGCAACUGGAAUUCUCGGUGUAGCGGUGAAAUGCGUAGAUAUCAGGAGGAACACCGGUGGCGAAGGCGGUGGUCUGGGCCGGCACUGACGCUGAGGAGCGAAAGCGUGGGUAGCAAACAGG